AACUGGCUCUAGCAGCUCAGGGCUCAGGCAGGGACCGGUGGCAGCGGGGCGCGGAGGCGCAGCGGGAGGGUGGUGGUGCGAGCAGCGUGAGGCGCAGGACCCUGUUGGCUGCGCCGCCGCGCUCCCCGCCCCUUUCUCCCACCCUCUGCCCCCCUCCUUUCCUCCCUCCCUUCAGUGCUCGCGCGGGAGCAGGAGCCCCAGGCUGAGCGGCACAGGCGCAGGCAGCGCACCUUCGGCGCCUGCAGCAGCCACAGCAACCUGGCGCGCGGUGGCGCCGGCGGCGGGCGGGCGGGCGCCGCGGGUCCGACUGGGAAGUGUGCGGAACCUUGCAGAACAGCGCGGACGGGGGCGCUGCGGCCAAGGCGGCGGCUCGCAGGAGCGCGCAGGGCAGCCCCCCGGGCUAGCCAGCGGCAGCGGCGGGCCGGGCCGGCGGGGCGGGCGCCUUGCAAGCUGGUGCAGCUAGAUUAAAGGAUUUACUUGAAGACAAAUCAUUCUAUUCAUCAGAGACCAGACAAGAGUCACUCUUGCUUUUGCCAAUUAAAGAUGAUGUUGUCAUGGAAACAGUUGAUCCUGCUUUCAUUCAUUGGCUGCCUGGCAGGUGAACUUCUUUUACAAGGCCCUGUGUUUAUCAAAGAGCCCAGCAACAGUAUUUUCCCUGUUGAUUCAGAGGACAAAAAAAUAACAUUAAAUUGUGAAGCAAGAGGCAACCCUUCACCUCAUUACAGGUGGCAGCUGAAUGGCAGUGAUAUUGAUACAAGUCUGGACCAUCGUUACAAACUGAAUGGAGGAAAUCUCAUAGUUAUUAACCCUAACAGAAAUUGGGAUACAGGAAGUUACCAGUGUUUUGCAACGAAUUCUCUUGGAACAAUAGUGAGCAGAGAAGCCAAACUCCAGUUUGCCUAUCUUGAAAAUUUUAAGACCAGGAUGAGAAGCACUGUGUCGGUCCGUGAAGGCCAGGGAGUGGUGCUUCUCUGUGGACCCCCACCUCACUCAGGAGAACUGUCAUAUGCUUGGGUCUUCAAUGAGUAUCCAUCAUUUGUUGAAGAAGACAGUCGACGAUUUGUCUCUCAAGAGACAGGACACCUCUACAUAGCUAAGGUGGAACCAUCUGAUGUGGGAAAUUACACAUGUGUGGUGACCAGCACGGUGACAAAUACCAGAGUAUUGGGCUCCCCAACCCCUUUGGUGCUACGCUCUGAUGGUGUCAUGGGUGAAUAUGAACCCAAAAUAGAAGUCCAGUUUCCAGAGACUCUUCCAGCAGCUAAAGGUUCAACUGUGAGGUUGGAAUGCUUCGCCCUGGGAAACCCUGUUCCUCAGAUUAAUUGGAGAAGAAGUGAUGGGAUGCCGUUUCCCAACAAAAUUAAGUUGAGGAAGUUCAAUGGUAUGCUGGAAAUUCAAAACUUCCAACAGGAAGAUACAGGCUCCUAUGAGUGUAUUGCUGAAAAUUCACGAGGAAAAAAUGUGGCGAGAGGGCGGCUCACUUACUAUGCAAAACCUUAUUGGCUUCAACUCUUAAGAGAUGUGGAAAUUGCUGUGGAGGACAGUCUUUAUUGGGAAUGCCGGGCAAGUGGGAAGCCUAAACCCUCUUAUCGAUGGCUGAAAAAUGGAGAUGCCUUAGUACUAGAGGAGAGAAUACAGAUAGAAAAUGGUGCCCUUACAAUAACCAACCUCAAUGUGACUGACUCUGGAAUGUUCCAAUGUAUAGCAGAAAACAAGCAUGGUCUCAUCUACUCCAGUGCUGAGCUCAAGGUAGUAGCUUCUGCUCCAGAUUUUUCAAGAAACCCUAUGAAAAAAAUGGUCCAGGUGCAGGUGGGCAGCCUGGUGAUCCUGGAUUGUAAACCCAGAGCCUCUCCAAGGGCACUUUCUUUCUGGAAGAAGGGAGACAUGAUGGUGCGGGAGCAGGCAAGGGUUUCUUUUUUAAAUGAUGGAGGACUCAAAAUCAUGAAUGUGACUAAGGCAGACGCUGGAACCUACACCUGCACAGCAGAAAACCAGUUUGGGAAAGCAAAUGGCACAACCCACUUGGUUGUGACAGAACCUACGAGAAUAAUUUUGGCACCUUCAAACAUGGACGUUGCUGUUGGUGAGAGCGUCAUUUUACCCUGCCAGGUUCAACAUGAUCCCCUAUUAGACAUAAUGUUUGCCUGGUAUUUCAAUGGAGCCCUUACAGACUUUAAGAAAGAUGGAUCUCACUUUGAGAAAGUUGGUGGGAGUUCAUCUGGUGAUUUAAUGAUCAGAAACAUUCAAUUGAAACACAGUGGGAAGUACGUAUGUAUGGUGCAGACAGGGGUGGACAGUGUUUCCUCUGCAGCUGAGCUCAUCGUGAGAGGUUCACCUGGGCCACCGGAAAAUGUGAAGGUAGAUGAAAUUACAGACACAACAGCCCAGCUCUCUUGGACGGAAGGCACGGACAGUCAUAGCCCAGUUAUAUCGUAUGCAGUCCAAGCUAGGACGCCUUUCUCUGUGGGCUGGCAAAGUGUCAGAACAGUACCUGAGGUCAUUGAUGGCAAGACACAUACAGCUACUGUCGUGGAGUUAAACCCAUGGGUGGAAUAUGAAUUUCGCAUUGUAGCCAGUAACAAAAUCGGAGGUGGAGAACCCAGUUUACCCUCAGAAAAACUCCAGAAAUCGCACCUUCUGAGGUCAGCGGAGGAGGUGGAAGCCGAUCUGAACUAGUGAUAACCUGGGAUCCAGUCCCUGAAGAACUACAGAAUGGAGGAGGUUUUGGGUAUGUGGUUGCUUUCCGCCCACUUGGGGUUACCACCUGGAUCCAGACAGUGGUGACAUCCCCAGAUAACCCAAGAUACGUCUUUAGGAAUGAAAGCAUUGUGCCCUUUUCGCCAUAUGAAGUUAAAGUGGGAGUUUACAAUAACAAAGGUGAAGGACCCUUUAGCCCAGUGACAACUGUGUUCUCUGCAGAGGAAGAGCCUACAGUUGCCCCAUCUCACAUCUCUGCCCAUAGCCUGUCUUCCUCAGAAAUUGAAGUUUCUUGGAAUACAAUUCCCUGGAAGUUGAGCAAUGGACAUUUACUGGGCUAUGAGGUGCGGUACUGGAACAAUGGAGGAGAAGAAGAAUCAUCCCGCAAAGUGAAAGUGGCAGGAAAUCAGACAUCAGCUGUGCUCCGAGGCCUGAAGAGCAACCUGGCCUAUUACACAGCUGUCCGGGCUUACAACAGCGCAGGCGCUGGUCCCUUCAGCGCCACAGUUAAUGCGACCACCAAGAAAACCCCUCCCAGUCAGCCACCAGGAAAUGUUGUUUGGAAUGCUACAGACACUAAAGUGCUACUUAAUUGGGAACAAGUGAAAGCCAUGGAGAAUGAAUCAGAAGUAACAGGCUACAAGGUUUUCUAUAGGACUAGCAGUCAGAAUAAUGUGCACGUGCUGAACACAAAUAAAACUUCAGCUGAACUGUUGCUGCCUAUCAAAGAAGACUACAUUAUUGAGGUCAAGGCCACCACAGAUGGAGGGGAUGGCACCAGUAGUGAGCAGAUCAGGAUUCCAAGAAUAACCAGUAUGGAUGCAAGAGGAUCCACGUCAGCCAUUUCUAACAUCCACCCUUUGUCAGGUUAUAUGUCUGUCCUACUGUUCUUUAUUGUAAAUGCUUUGUGGUGAUAGGGCUUUUUUUUUAUUAUUUCCUGGAAAGUUAAUUGGUUACCCCCAUAAAAAAAGUGCUUUCUGAAACAGUGAUUAUGCAUGUUGUUUUCAGCUAUGUGUUUUUAAAUUUCUACUUCAUUAUAGGUAAAAUAUGAAUCUAAUAAAAACAGUAAAUCCUUUUAGAGGAAUCUGAGAUGCCUUAAUAUUUGCUUGGUAAACCAAAGGAACUUGCAAAUUACAUACUGCAAACUUUUGAUAGAAAUAUUCUUAUGUUAUGAGUUUAAACACUUUCCUAUGUGUGAGGCACAUACACAGGAUGCAUAAAAACACAGUGCACACAUGAUGUAUGGAGACACAUAGUACAUACACGGUACACACAGCACACACAAUGCACAAACACACACACACACACACACACACACACACACACACACACACACACAGAGUUUUUCUAUACUAAAAUAUUUCUCAUUUAUUCCAAAUGUUCCUUUCCCAUUGUUACAAUAUUACCUAUCAUUUCUAAAUACUAAUUUGACUCCUCAGAGGAAAAUGCACUUAAACAGUUAUUCUGGACUGGAGCAGCCUGGAAGGGCGUAUUGUCAGAAAAUGAUACUCUGAGCUUGGGGAAGUGACAUUUGCUUCAAUGUGCUACUGUAUGGCUGCGAGAUUCCCUUUGUCACUUCAUCCUCUCAUCUUUCACUUAUUUAUUUUAUAAAAUGAGGUGACAAUAUUUCUCCUAUCAGCCUUUACUGCAAGAAUCCGUUGUUUAAAACAAAGGAAGUAAUGGGAAAGCAUUGUUUCCUCCAAUGUGCAAUGUCCCUGUGCAGAAUCUUACAUGAAGCUACUAAGGUGACACAGAACAGGCACUUCUUUGAAGCUUGCUGGCAUUGCAUGCUCUUCUUAGAAUUAUCCCUCUUCUUCAAAGAUGGAAAUUGAACCUGAGUGAAGAUUGUAACAUUGUUUCUUUUUGUUGGUAUUUACAAAGAAAAAGAUGGAACAUGGAAAUGAAUACAUUUUAUCCUUCCUUAAAAAUUAAAGUGAACUUACUUGGGAAAGAGAAUUAGGACUCAUCCCCUUCCCAUGUAAAAAUAAGCUUUCAGGUUUUGUCAAAUCCCAGUAGAGAAAAUAAUGAAAAAGCUGUAUCUUAACCCAAAUAUAAAACAAAAUGCAUAUAAUUCUUCAUUUAUAAUUUCUGAUCCUAUUAAGGGACUCUCUCUUGGUUUGGAUGGCAGAGAUGGAUUUUUAAUGGAAUUCCACUCUCUAUCUCAUCGAGCCAGGCAGCCUUUUCCAUUCCCAAGUAAAAUUUGUAAAAGAACAUGGUGAUGUUGCUGGCUUUGAUAUGGAUGAGUCGAGUCUUUCAAUAUGUGAUUUUCAAAGGACUGUGGAAGACAUGGCUUGGCAGUAACAUGUAGAAGGUAUAUGAAAAAUAGCAGAUUGAGUGCUAGAAUUUUUUACCACUUACCUACUAUUUUCGCAUUUUGCUGGGAUUUUUUUCUUAUUACCAAAGGUAGCAAAAUUGGAAAUCGAUGGUAUAGCUCUCAAGCAACAUUAAACCUUAGCCAAAUGCUGAUACCUUUCUAGUGUCCCACCCUUCUUUAGAGAUUCCAUUUAAGACAAGGUUGCUAUGUAAAAAGAAGAAUGGGGUUUUUUUUUAAGUUUUUCUGUAGGGUCUGUAUAUAUUGUACAUAUCAAGAAGAAAUCCGAAUGACUAGUGGAUUUCCUAUGACCAUUGUUAUUUCCAGUCAAAAUGUGGGGUCACACUUUCUCCAACCCCUGUGCUUUAUGGUACACAUAACAGAACUAUACCUUUUUUAUUUUCUGAUGACUCCAAGAAUUUGUUCCUAUAGUUUUCUUUUACAAGAUGGCUAUUCUCUUGUUUCCUGUUAUUUCUAUCAGUAUCAUCUCCAUGAGAUGUACACACUGUUUCAUAUUGAAAAGUCUAAAUUUUACUGUUUAAAUUCCUGUGUGUGUAUCCUAUGGUUAUCUGUAUGUAUGAUUUUCUAUUAUUCUAAUAAAAUUUAUAAUAAUCAAA
This is an RNA transcript of Mus musculus (house mouse), 5625 nucleotides long. It is a transcript of the gene named contactin 3, with no coding region annotated. The transcript is spliced from 23 exons. The record is from RefSeq and is marked validated. NCBI's taxonomy places the organism in Eukaryota, Metazoa, Chordata, Mammalia, Rodentia, Muridae.